AUGAAGGAAGGAUCCAAAACUCAGGGGGCAUUGGGUUGCUUCCCAACCAAUCAAAGAGACCAAGUACCGAAAGCCAAGUUUUUCCCCAUGAAGGUAUAUAUGUGACACCACCGUGUGCCCGAAUCCAGUUUCUGGCUCUAGCACAAGCAUUGUCUUGACCGCCAUCAGGUCCUUCUCCGAGAAUUCGCAUACAUAUAUAGUUAAGUGCAGUACAAAACAUGGUGCUGUGAC
Molecule: long non-coding RNA, 231 nt
Filed under: Medicago truncatula (barrel medic)
Lineage: Eukaryota; Viridiplantae; Streptophyta; Magnoliopsida; Fabales; Fabaceae
Description: lncRNA gene20121
Source: RNAcentral